RNAcentral lists this ribosomal RNA (253 nucleotides) under uncultured bacterium. RNAcentral describes it as "partial 16S ribosomal RNA". It matches the Rfam family "Bacterial small subunit ribosomal RNA", at positions 524 to 776 of the family's 1533-position model. The record is from RNAcentral.
UACAGAGGGGGCAAGCGUUGUUCGGAAUUACUGGGCGUAAAGGGCGCGUAGGCGGUCCGAUAAGUCCCGUGUGAAAGCCCCCGGCUCAACUGGGGAACUGCACGGGAAACUGACGGACUUGAGUUCGGGAGAGGGAAGCGGAAUUCCGGGUGUAGCGGUGAAAUGCGUAGAUAUCCGGAGGAACACCGGUGGCGAAGGCGGCUUCCUGGACCGACACUGACGCUGAGGCGCGAAAGCUAGGGGAGCAAACGGG